CAUAUCAAUAAGCGGAGGAAAAGAAACCAACAGGGAUUGCCCCAGUAACGGCGAGUGAAGCGGCAACAGCUCAAAUUUGAAAUCUGGCCCCCAGGGUCCGAGUUGUAAUUUGCAGAGGAUGAUUUUGGCGAGGUGCCUUCCGAGUUCCCUGGAACGGGACGCCACAGAGGGUGAGAGCCCCGUCUGGUUGGACGCCGAGCCUAUGUAAAUCUCCUUCGACGAGUCGAGUAGUUUGGGAAUGCUGCUCUAAAUGGGAGGUAUAUGUCUUCUAAAGCUAAAUAUUGGCCAGAGACCGAUAGCGCACAAGUAGAGUGAUCGAAAGAUGAAAAGCACUUUGAAAAGAGGGUUAAAUAGUACGUGAAAUUGUUGAAAGGGAAGCGCUCAUGACCAGACUUGGGCCCGGUGAAUCAUCCAGCGUUCUCGCUGGUGCACUUUGCCGGGCUCAGGCCAGCAUCAGUUUGCCCCGGGGGAUAAAGGCUUUGGGAAUGUGGCUCCUCCGGGAGUGUUAUAGCCCAUUGCAUAAUAUCCUG
This 530-nucleotide ribosomal RNA is filed under the name Hypocreales sp. RNAcentral describes it as "eukaryotic LSU rRNA". It matches the Rfam family "Eukaryotic large subunit ribosomal RNA", at positions 39 to 578 of the family's 3401-position model. Lineage: Eukaryota; Fungi; Ascomycota; Sordariomycetes; Hypocreales. The record is from RNAcentral.